CUUCACUCCGCUGAGACUCAUUUUUGGUUCGUGCUGCGAAAUAAAAACCGCCUCUUUUCCGGUCCUUUACUUCUUUGUUUGCGGGACUUGCUUUGAUUUCACUGGUGCAAUUUUCAAGGCUCGCUGUUGGAUUCGCGUCGCUCUCACCCGCCGAGAAUAUUUCUCUUGGAUAAUUGGAUUCAUUUAUUUGUACGGCGCGACCUCAGGCGAUGGUCCGUACGGCUUCUAGAUCGCCAUCAAGCUGGCGGAGGCGCUCUCCCUCCCCGUUCAGUCAUAGGUACAGCAGCAGCUGGAGAAGAAGACGUGAUCGGAGCGGAUCUCCUUAUUCAUAUAGGUGGAUGAGCUUGUUAACUCCAAAUCCUUAGAUUGGUCCUGAUAUUGUUUCUGUUAUCUUGGUUUUUACACUUAACUCGUCAUGGUAAACAAUUACUUUGUUAUGGCUUGUGCUUAACAUUCCUGGGAGAUAAGCUGAUCACAUCCAUGAGGGCGAUUAUUUCAUACAAAUUGUGGGCGGUAUUGAUCAAGAACUGUAAUUUGGGUGGUAGUUGGAAGCCCAGUUUGUAUUACGCUUGUUGAUUGAUUGCUCAAUUACCAUCGAUCAUGGAAUCAGGUUUGAUAAGGAGACAAUUUUUAAAGACUACAAAGAAAUGUUAAUUCGCUAAUUUGCCUUACAUUCUUUAAAUUUGAUCGAGAAUAGAAAUGCUGGUGGAUUACUGAUUCUGAACAUGACUUGUUUGUUGCUGAUACUACUGCUGGUGAGAUUUUCCCGUUACCUGAAAGUUUAUAAAGUUCCGUCGAUGAACAAGAACUUCUGCCAAAGGAUAAGCAUCAAUGCUACUUCUAGCCAAGAACUCCAUCUCCGUCCCCCAGCUGGCACAAAGCAGUUCUCCAACUCCUAGGCGGAGAAAAAGCCAUUCAACAUCUUCUAGGAGACGCAGAAGACAAAAAAGUAGGACCACCAGCGGUCUCCUAGCAAGUCUCAGAGUCCAGUUGUGCGGUCAGUGGAUCACAAUAGUUCCUUUGAGAAACUAAGAAAAGAAGAUGAAGAAAAGAGAAGAAAUUCUCAGGCCAGAGGCAUACAGGCUUUUGAGGGGUUUUGGAAAUAGUUGUCGUCUUUCCCAUUGCUCCUCCUGGUAGUGGUUCUGCUUAACCAAAUGAACAAGUUAUUUGACGUAGUCAUGUCUAGUUGCAGUCCUAGAUGAAGCAUCCACUGCCAUGGAACAAUCAUUAAAGUAAAGUUUCUGGAUAAUCCAAGUCAAGUGAUUUGGAUAUUGUCAAGGAAAGGAUUUAUUUGUAGCUUGUUGAUUGAAUAUAAGGGCCUCCGGAUGCAUGGACACAACGUAUGGACGAGGUCUUGCAUGGUUGAGGAUCAAAUGGGAUCAUUUGCUUAAGAGCUUUUGAGUGGACACGUUACAGCCAGCAUGUUAUUCGACUCCAAACUAGAAGCUGGAAGCAUUUCGACAAGCUUAAGGAUCGCUUUCGAGAUUUUUACUGAUGUCUUUUUGGGGAUUAUAAGAUCGUUUCUGGUGCAAUUUUGGUAUUUGGAUUAAGAUGAAGUUGGCCAACCCCUUGCCAUUCUAUCUUUGGAUAGCCCUUGUGGCAACCAUUGGUUUUGUUGGAUGGCCUUUUGCUGGACAUUCUUAUUUGGUGCUCACAUGGAGAGCUUUAUUUGUUUGAGCUGUAGACCAUUAGCUUCUGAGUCCAAUUAGUAUUUUUGCCCAACAUUACUCUUUUGUUAUUUGUUCUGAUAUUUUGAGUUUAAUUUUGGUUUUUUUUUUCUUUUUUCUCUUUUGGAGAGCUGUAUUUGUUUUACAGCUCUUUUUUUCAUUUUUUAGUUUUUGUUUGCUGCUUUUAG
This is a long non-coding RNA of Dendrobium catenatum, 1855 nucleotides long. RefSeq lists it as uncharacterized. The record is from RefSeq and is a predicted model, not a curated record. The transcript has 7 exons. Lineage: Eukaryota; Viridiplantae; Streptophyta; Magnoliopsida; Asparagales; Orchidaceae.